UCUGGUGAUCCCAGCGCAGUGGACCCACCCGUUCCCAUUCCGAACACGGAAGUGAAACGCUGCAGCCCCGAUGAUAGUGCAUGUCUAGCUUGUGCGAAAGUAGGACGUCGCCAGUU
Molecule: ribosomal RNA, 116 nt
Organism: Chthoniobacter flavus Ellin428
Lineage: Bacteria; Pseudomonadati; Verrucomicrobiota; Spartobacteria; Chthoniobacterales; Chthoniobacteraceae
Source: Rfam